GAUGAACGCUGGCGGCGUGCCUAAUACAUGCAAGUCGAGCGAACGGACGAGAAGCUUGCUUCUCUGAUGUUAGCGGCGGACGGGUGAGUAACACGUGGAUAACCUACCUAUAAGACUGGGAUAACUUCGGGAAACCGGAGCUAAUACCGGAUAAUAUUUUGAACCGCAUGGUUCAAAAGUGAAAGACGGUCUUGCUGUCACUUAUAGAUGGAUCCGCGCUGCAUUAGCUAGUUGGUAAGGUAACGGCUUACCAAGGCAACGAUGCAUAGCCGACCUGAGAGGGUGAUCGGCCACACUGGAACUGAUACACGGUCCAGACUCCUACGGGAGGCAGCAGUAGGGAAUCUGCCGCAAUGGGCGAAAGCCUGACGGAGCAACGCCGCGUGAUUGAUGAAGGUCUUCGGAUCGUAAAACUCUGUUAUUAGGGAAGAACAUAUGUGUAAGUAACUGUGCACAUCUUGACGGUACCUAAUCAGAAAGCCACGGCUAACUACGUG
This 497-nucleotide ribosomal RNA is filed under the name uncultured bacterium. Its description in RNAcentral is "partial 16S ribosomal RNA". It matches the Rfam family "Bacterial small subunit ribosomal RNA", at positions 28 to 507 of the family's 1533-position model. The record is from RNAcentral.